CUGAAAGCAUGUCCAGAAGCUUUGGUAACUCCUAACCCUUGUCCAAACCAAGGAAAUAAACAGUUGAAACUGCAAGAGGAGGAGGAGGAGAAAGAAGGUAUAUAUCAGGGUAACUGAAACAACUAGAUUUCCUUGGAGGACUGUUUCCAGCUUCUGUUGUCACAGACAAAAAACAUGCUAGAGGUAAAUAUGGGAAACACCUGUUUGAUGGAUUGGAUUGCAGUCAGUGGUUAUUGAACGAUAAUUUAC
This 249-nucleotide long non-coding RNA is filed under the name Gallus gallus (chicken). RNAcentral's name for it is "long non-coding RNA NONGGAT003867". The record is from RNAcentral. Lineage: Eukaryota; Metazoa; Chordata; Aves; Galliformes; Phasianidae.